UUUUUAAAUUGUUUUAAGAAUAAUCUUACAAUCUUUUGGGGCUAACUCUUGUUUUAUACUCAUCUCCACAAUAUCUAGACGUGCAUUUAUACCAUCUUUUGUCUUGCCUUGAAUGUUGACGAGUAUUCCAAUCAAACUAUCACACACAUUUUUCUUCACAUACAUCAAAUUAAGACAAUGACAUACAUCGAGGCUAGAUCAAUAUGAAAGAUCAAAG
RNAcentral lists this long non-coding RNA (217 nucleotides) under Lathyrus oleraceus (garden pea). Its description in RNAcentral is "Pisum sativum (pea) long non-coding RNA (PSAT_LNC005426)". The record is from RNAcentral. Lineage: Eukaryota; Viridiplantae; Streptophyta; Magnoliopsida; Fabales; Fabaceae.